This 618-nucleotide ribosomal RNA is filed under the name uncultured Alphaproteobacteria bacterium. RNAcentral describes it as "bacterial SSU rRNA". It matches the Rfam family "Bacterial small subunit ribosomal RNA", at positions 28 to 692 of the family's 1533-position model. Lineage: Bacteria; Pseudomonadati; Pseudomonadota; Alphaproteobacteria. The record is from RNAcentral.
AACGAACGCUGGCGGCAGGCCUAACACAUGCAAGUCGAGCGCACCCUUCGGGGCGAGCGGCGGACGGGUUAGUAACGCGUGGGAAUGUACCCUUUUCUACGGAAUAGCCAUUGGAAACGAUGAGUAAUACCGUAUACGCCCUUUGGGGGAAAGAUUUAUCGGAGAAGGAUCAGCCCGCGUUAGAUUAGAUAGUUGGUGGGGUAAUGGCCUACCAAGUCUACGAUCUAUAGCUGGUUUUAGAGGAUGAUCAGCAACACUGGGACUGAGACACGGCCCAGACUCCUACGGGAGGCAGCAGUGGGGAAUCUUAGACAAUGGGCGCGAGCCUGAUCUAGCCAUGCCGCGUGAGUGAAGAAGGCCUUAGGGUCGUAAAGCUCUUUCGCCAGGGAUGAUAAUGACAGUACCUGGUAAAGAAACCCCGGCUAACUCCGUGCCAGCAGCCGCGGUAAUACGGAGGGGGUUAGCGUUGUUCGGAAUUACUGAGCGUAAAGCGCACGUAGGCGGAUUAGAAAGUAUGGGGUGGAAUCCCAGGGCUCAACCCUGGAACUGCCUCAUAAACUCCUAAUCUAGAAUUCGAGAGAGGUGAGUGGAAUUCCGAGUGUAGAGGUGAAAUUCGUA